This 492-nucleotide ribosomal RNA is filed under the name uncultured bacterium. Its description in RNAcentral is "partial 16S ribosomal RNA". It matches the Rfam family "Bacterial small subunit ribosomal RNA", at positions 29 to 507 of the family's 1533-position model. The record is from RNAcentral.
AGUGAACGCUGGCGGUAGGCCUAACACAUGCAAGUCGAACGGCAGCACAGUAAGAGCUUGCUCUUACGGGUGGCGAGUGGCGGACGGGUGAGGAAUACAUCGGAAUCUACUUUUUCGUGGGGGAUAACGUAGGGAAACUUACGCUAAUACCGCAUACGACCUACGGGUGAAAGCAGGGGAUCUUCGGACCUUGCGCGAUUGAAUGAGCCGAUGUCGGAUUAGCUAGUUGGCGGGGUAAAGGCCCACCAAGGCGACGAUCCGUAGCUGGUCUGAGAGGAUGAUCAGCCACACUGGAACUGAGACACGGUCCAGACUCCUACGGGAGGCAGCAGUGGGGAAUAUUGGACAAAGGGCGCAAGCCUGAUCCAGCCAUACCGCGUGGGUGAAGAAGGCCUUCGGGUUGUAAAGCCCUUUUGUUGGGAAAGAAAAGCAGCAGGUUAAUACCCCGCUGUUCUGACGUUACCCAAAGAAUAAGCACCGGCUAACUUCGUG